This 367-nucleotide ribosomal RNA is filed under the name uncultured Sphingobacterium sp. RNAcentral's name for it is "bacterial SSU rRNA". It matches the Rfam family "Bacterial small subunit ribosomal RNA", at positions 527 to 896 of the family's 1533-position model. Lineage: Bacteria; Pseudomonadati; Bacteroidota; Sphingobacteriia; Sphingobacteriales; Sphingobacteriaceae. The record is from RNAcentral.
GGAGGAUCCGAGCGUUAUCCGGAUUUAUUGGGUUUAAAGGGUGCGUAGGCGGCCUAUUAAGUCAGGGGUGAAAGACGGCAGCUCAACUGUCGCAGUGCCUUUGAUACUGAUGGGCUUGAAUGCAGCUGAGGUAGGCGGAAUGUGACAAGUAGCGGUGAAAUGCAUAGAUAUGUCACAGAACACCGAUUGCGAAGGCAGCUUACUAAAGUGCGAUUGACGCUGAGGCACGAAAGCGUGGGGAUCAAACAGGAUUAGAUACCCUGGUAGUCCACGCCCUAAACGAUGAACACUCGAUGUUGGCGAUAUACGGUCAGCGUCUAAGCGAAAGCGUUAAGUGUUCCACCUGGGGAGUACGCCCGCAAGGGUG